Molecule: transfer RNA, 70 nt
Filed under: Buteo buteo (common buzzard)
Lineage: Eukaryota; Metazoa; Chordata; Aves; Accipitriformes; Accipitridae
Also listed under: 3 other names
Description: tRNA-Pro
Rfam family: tRNA
About the family: Transfer RNA (tRNA) molecules are approximately 80 nucleotides in length.
Source: RNAcentral
CAGAGAGUAGUUUAAUGUAAAAUGCCAGCUUUGGGAGUUGGUGAUGGAGGUUUAAGUCCUCUUUUUCUGA